This is a long non-coding RNA of Mus musculus (house mouse), 752 nucleotides long. RefSeq annotates it as predicted gene, 35957. The record is from RefSeq and is a predicted model, not a curated record. The transcript has 3 exons. NCBI's taxonomy places the organism in Eukaryota, Metazoa, Chordata, Mammalia, Rodentia, Muridae.
AGAAUUAUAAUCUCAGUGUGCUACUGGUUUUAUAGGUAGGGAGGAGGUGAGAGGCAGCCAUUUAGUCCACACAUUCAGUGAUCAAAGUGUGAUUCCUGUGUAGACACUGGAAUCCUGCCUGGCACAGGAGUGGAAGAGCUCCUGGGAUAUCCACUUUUUAACCUCUGCAGAGGUCACAUGGAAUCUGAUUCGACCUUGAGCAGGUUAAAAGGGUAAUAUUGAUCACCCUCUAAGAAAAGCAAUCAGGACAAACUGACUGUAAUGGUGGCACCAGGGAAGCAUGGCGACCCCUCCUGCAGAAGCGACCCCAGCUGCACAAAACUGAGCUGCUACAGCAACUGUUUCUUAAAGAGCAUGGAAUGGAGAAAAAAAACUAUAAAUCCAAGAAGAGCAGAUGCUUGAGCUCAGGACACCUCUACACCUACAAGAAAAAGAAAGCAGGAAAUGGAAACAGUGAGAUAGGACUACAGAGACAGAGCUUAUGGGAAGGAUGCUAACACCACCACUGCUCAGAGAAUGAGACACAAAACACAUGGAGAAGCCACCACUGGGCCCCAGGAGCCACUAGGUCUACUCUCCUAGAUAUACACAGAACAUGUACACAGUGUUCCUAGCAGCUUCUCUUAUAAGAACACCAACUGGCCACAGCCCCAGUGUCCCCAAUAAUUGGUCACUUGGUUGAGCCAAACAAUGGAACAUUGUGCAAUAAUGAAGAAUAAACAAACUGCACACAAGUCAUAAUGCUGAAUAAA